GCUCGAAUAGUGUAGUGGUUAUCACACCAGUCUCACACACUGGAUGUCCCAGGCUCGAAACCUGGUUCGAGCA
This is a non-coding RNA of Neurospora tetraspora, 73 nucleotides long. The record is from the annotation of a RefSeq genome assembly. Lineage: Eukaryota; Fungi; Ascomycota; Sordariomycetes; Sordariales; Sordariaceae.